Molecule: long non-coding RNA, 209 nt
Filed under: Eucalyptus grandis
Lineage: Eukaryota; Viridiplantae; Streptophyta; Magnoliopsida; Myrtales; Myrtaceae
Description: long non-coding RNA (EGRA_LNC007435)
Source: RNAcentral
ACACAUUUCCAGAACAAAAGAAGCCCAAUUCACUCGACAAAGCUGCUUAAGCACAAAAGACAGGGUUCCUGUUCUCGAUAGAAUCAUUCAAAUUUUUAAUAGACUAAGCCAAUACGGUCAAUAAAUGAAUUAUCCACCAUAAAAUGAAGCAAGAAGACACCGAAGCAGAUGGUUGGCAUGCCUUUUAGUUACAAGAGGUUGGCGUUCCA